GUCCAUGAACUCCAACAGCGAACACUCUCACCUCUGUGACAUUUAACAAAAACACUUAAGCAGAAAAUAAAAGGAAUGAUUCGAAAAGCGACAUGUACCUCUCUGCAUAAAGCAUUUUAAUACUAUUUGGGGACAUGCGAAGGAAGAGCGAACAGAUAAAAUGGAAUGAAGAAGCGCUCGUCAAGAAGCCGAGUGAGCAGUAUGCGAUCUGGCAGAACCUGCCCAGUUCUGAUAAGUGUCCUCCGCGUUCUCCCCGCGCUGAGCCUGUUUUCCAACUGCCAACCCCUCUCACUUCCAGACCGUGCCCCCGCCCCCCAUCUACUCAGGACAGUUGACAAAGGCCACGACAGCUGUGCAUGACAGGUAACGACCAGUCCUUUCCCACCAAGAAGACUGCCUUGCCUCUGGUGACCAAGGGCCAGCAAAAGAGGGAAAGUUAUUUCUUACUCUUGAGAUGCCAGGAUCACAGUGCCCCCAGGACUUGGGACUGUCAUCCUUCAUGCUGAACUAGUUCACGGGGACUGUAGCGAAGAUUAGUAGAUGCUUGGCCUCAUUGGCAUCAGCGCAGAGAUGAAACCCAGCCACAUGCUGGAUGAAGUGGAUGGCCUGCGAAGUGAAGAGCCUCGGAUAGACUUUGGGAGGCCAGACCGUCCCUGGGUUGCCUGGUUAAUCUUGGAAGAGCAUUUAUUUCUGCCCGUUGCAACUCUGUCUUCUCCCUACCCUGCUGUCUAAAGGGGGUUAUUGGUACUGGGUUUUCCAAUUGCUUUCGGGAGGUGUCAGUGUUGAAAACACGUUAACCAGACUACACAUGAAGAGCACUCUCUUUGCCUUUUGCCAGGAGGCUGUGGUUUGUCCCCUGCCCAGCCCGGUCCACCUUCCAACAUACUGGGGAUGGGCUCUGCCUUCAUUCCUCUGUCUGCUAGAACAAAUUACCACAGAUGGGGGGCUUACGCAGCAACAAUCAUGUCUUACAGUUCUGGAGAUGAGAAAGUGCAGGAAUCAGGGGCUGCCAGAGCCAGCGUCCAGUGAGGACCCUCCUCCUGGCUUGCACAUGGCCGUCUUCUUGCUGUGUCUUCUCAUAGUGGACAGCAGAGAGAACAAGCACUCUCUCCUGUCUCUUCUUAUGAGGCCAUUCAACCCAUUCACGAGGGCUCCACCCUCAUGACACAUCACCUCCAAAGACCCAGCUCCUACCACCGUCACAUUGGGCGUUAGGCUUCACCAUGGGAAUUGCAGGGGGGACACAAACAUUCAUUCCAUAAGAGGUUCUUUAAUGAGGCUUUGAAGGUUUUUCAAGUGAGUCCAAACAGUGUCUAUACCCAUAGUGGGUCAUUUCCUUGGGAGCAUCUUUGUUCCGACUCAAAGACCACUCUCCCAAAUGUGGCCCCGUCGGCUGGGUGUGUGCACCCCAUGUUUAGCAGAGAUGCUGUUGAAUUAGAGUAACAAGUGAGAAAGUGAGUCUAGAGGAAAGGUCCCAGGCAGAUUUUGAACACAGCCUUGAACAAAGAUAUUAUUACUUUUUACUUUUAUUUCAACUUGAUUUUCAUAAGCUUUCCCUUUGUUUUCCCAUAGCAUAGCGCUCCAUCUAAUUGAUUUACUUAUCAGCCAAUUGAAAAGGAAGAGCCAACAAAUCCCAGAGUUUAAUAAGGACACAAGUUUAUAUCUAAGGGGGAGCUCACAAAAGGAAGACUAUGCAUGGUUUUAUCAAGAAGUUGGCGCAGGCCUCUUGCUCUGUGCCAGGCACUGGGCACGGGGUGAAGAUGACAAGCAGGAUGGAAUCGGAGUCCCUGCAUGAAGCAGCCUGCCCUCCACAAUCACACCUUGGUGCACCUUAGUUUUCACUGACGUUAUAUAGACCUUGUGUUGUAUGUAUUAAAAUGUGCUUUGGGCCAUAGGUCUGAUACAUCUGUGCACAGUCAGUGAAUCUACAUAAUAUCCCAAUCCAGAAACAAAUAGGGAGUCAGGCUAAAUUUUGCCAUAUUCAUAUUCAUAUUCAUUCACUCACUCAUCCAUUCACUCACUCACUCAUUCACUCAUUCAUUCAUUCAUUCACCAUUCAUCAUUCAUCAUUCAUUCAUUCCAUGCCAGAAAGGACUGCCUCCCCAUGAAAGCCAGCAUGGGGUGAGGGGGAUCUCUCCGGAGUCACCUGAGCCCCCUCCCAUUUCUCAAGUGGAGCAAAGCCCCCGUUCGUCUCUAGUCAACUCAUCUAAGAGAGCGGCUGCCUCACUUCAAUUAAGUUUGAAUUAAUUCUUGCUGGUUUCCUUUACAAAAACAUCCAGGUUUUAAUUGUUUCACCUAAUUACUGGACUGCGACCCAGAUUUAAGACCUGACACAGGUGAUAGAAAACGAUGGGUUUCCUUUGAUUAUAUUCACUUAUUGUCUCAAGAGCUUUUCGGAGCAGACUAUUCCUCCUUUUUGUUACUCCUUAUUUAUAAGUCUGACCUUCCAGACUCUCCGACUGAAUGAAAUUUCCCUAAAUAAACAUGAGAU
Molecule: long non-coding RNA, 2491 nt
Organism: Mirounga angustirostris (Northern elephant seal)
Lineage: Eukaryota; Metazoa; Chordata; Mammalia; Carnivora; Phocidae
Exons: 2
Source: RefSeq, a predicted model, not a curated record